RNAcentral lists this unclassified non-coding RNA (1120 nucleotides) under Hevea brasiliensis (rubber tree). The record is from RNAcentral. Lineage: Eukaryota; Viridiplantae; Streptophyta; Magnoliopsida; Malpighiales; Euphorbiaceae.
UAUAUUAUUAGUUAAUUUUUUAAAAAUUUUGUGCUUCCUUCAAUGAAGUGAGCUUUUGUUUUGCACUUUGCACUUUAAGCAAUGGGUUGAUUCAUCGGUUUGAGUCUGCCUUGCGCUUUUAACUACCUUGAGCUGAAUAUUGAUCCUUAAGGUGUACUCACUAAGUAUUUGCUUGUGAUGAUUUAGAUAGUACAACUGAAAAUAUUAGAUAUCCAAUUCUAUCUGGAAAUAAGUGCUUGCCUAUAUGAGUAUCCAAGCUACUUAGUCGUUAAGAAGUGCGCCUUAAAAUUUAUUGAGUUUGGUCUUAACUUUAUUCUUUCUCCUAGCCAAGGGAAAUCACAUAGGGGAUGACAUAGAAACAUCAGUGGUGAUGCAGGAGGCAUUCUAUCUGCGCUAAAAUGACACAUAGGCUUUCGAAAUCAAUUGUUUCAAAAUGCAAGGCUAAAAUUUUGUAUGAAAUUGGUGAAUCAAAAUUUUGGUAUUUGCAUUUCUGUCCAUUUCUUGCGAUGCAAAUAUCAGAUUCUGAUCCAUCUCUUUGGCUUGGAAUAAAAUGACCAAUGUGUGUUUUGUGGAGCUGUAUUUAUUGCCUUGAAAAUACCAUGUAAAACAAAGUUGUCUAUCCAUUACAUUUGUAGGGGAAAGGGGAAAAAUGCAGUACUGUUUGCAUAGCAUGAAGUCCAUUCGAAGGACCAAUCCCCUGGUCACCUCACCUGGCAAUAGGAUCGACAUGGAGGUUGGAACUCUAAAUUUGGCCACUGCAUGAAAUGGAAAUUGGGUGUCUUCAUCAUACAUGCAAUUUGGGUUCCAUAUAUUUAAUGUAGAAAUUCAAGUGCACAAAUGAAUUGAGAAAACCAUGGGACGUGACUCUAGUGGGCCUCUAUAAAGACCAAUUUGCCAUGCAUGUAUCCUUAAUGCAAAUACACUUCUAGUUUGUUGUAUAACAAGACUUGAGAACACUAUGACUUUAUAAGUUUGUGACACUUCUUCUUUUAGAUUUUUAUCAUCAAACAUUAAGUAGGAGUAACCAUUUUAUUUUCUACUUACAACGCGCUACAUCGGAGCCCAAGUGUAGUGAGAAAUAUGUAAAGGUGUAGGACGUUCACCGAAAGCGACGCGCUAU